Molecule: long non-coding RNA, 655 nt
Organism: Oreochromis aureus
Lineage: Eukaryota; Metazoa; Chordata; Actinopteri; Cichliformes; Cichlidae
Source: Ensembl
GAAUGAGGCAGCGGGCUGCUCCGCUUGCAACCAGAGGAACGGACAGCGCUGCGCACGAGGCAGGUACCAUCCUCCACGGGGAAGGCAAAAAAAAAGCAGAGGAGAGCGGGGUGCCACACAUGUGACCGCGGAGCUCAGCAGAGAAGACCAUGAGGAUCACAGCCUUCUUCAAGAGCAAAGGUCUCUUGCUGCUGUGAUGUUUUUAGGAGAGGGGCUCCUCCUGGUUGUUUCCAGUUCCCCAUCUCAGCCCUGAUGCUCACUUCAGGUCAGCCCCUCGGGAUCUGGAACCUCAAAGAGAAACCAUCAAGAAACACUAUGUCUGAGACGGAGCAUGUGGCUGAGGUUGGAUCCCCUCAGAGGCUCGCUGUUCUCUUUUUAAUGAAGCAAAGCUGAUAAGAAGGACAAUUGUUCUUUUUUUUUUCCCUUUAAAGAGACAUUCAUGAACCAUAAGUGGAAAUUAAGUGGGAAGGGGACUGAAAUACUCUGAGCAGGUAUUUCCCUUCAUUCCCUGUUAAAAAGGUGGGAUAUUUAGCUGUGGGAGAGUCCGAGUGAGUACUCAGUUACUUAUGGAAAGAUGGAGGCAGGAGCAGAGGCUAGCCCACAACAGCACCAGAGGAGGAAGCCUGUGCUGCAUGGAUUGGAGGACCAGAAAAGG